RNAcentral lists this ribosomal RNA (513 nucleotides) under Halomonas flagellata. RNAcentral describes it as "partial 23S ribosomal RNA". The stretch from base 111 to 513 matches the Rfam family "Eukaryotic large subunit ribosomal RNA", at positions 1 to 395 of the family's 3401-position model. The record is from RNAcentral. Lineage: Bacteria; Pseudomonadati; Pseudomonadota; Gammaproteobacteria; Oceanospirillales; Halomonadaceae.
UGUGGAUUGUCCUUAUCGGUGUGAUAGUCAUCUAUGCCGUGGUCGUCUGAGGUGGGAUCGGCUUCUAAUGGUGCAAGUCCCUUCAGGGGGAUGAUUUUCUAAUGACCUUCUGACCUCAAAUCAGGUAGGACUACCCGCUGAACUUAAGCAUAUCAAUAAGCGGAGGAAAAGAAACUAACAAGGAUUCCCCUAGUAACUGCGAGUGAAGCGGGAUAAGCUCAAAUUUAAAAUCUGGUGGGUGUUUGGCCUGCCCGAGUUGUAGUCUGGAGAAGUGCUUUCUGUGCUGAACCGUGUACAAGUCUCUUGGAACAGAGCGUCAUAGAGGGUGAGAAUCCCGUCUUUGACACGGACUAUCAGUGCUUUGUGAUGCGCUCUCAAUGAGUCGAGUUGUUUGGGAAUGCAGCUCAAAAUGGGUGGUAAAUUCCAUCUAAAGCUAAAUAUUGGCGAGAGACCGAUAGUGAACAAGUACCGUGAGGGAAAGAUGAAAAGCACUUUGGAAAGAGAGUUAAACAG